GCCUACGGGAGGCAGCAGUGAGGAAUAUUGGUCAAUGGUCGGGAGACUGAACCAGCCAAGCCGCGUGAGGGAUGAAGGUACAGAGUAUCGUAAACCUCUUUUGUCAGGGAACAAAGGCGGGGACGUGUCCCCGGAUGAGUGUACCUGAAGAAAAAGCAUCGGCUAACUCCGUGCCAGCAGCCGCGGUAAUACGGAGGAUGCGAGCGUUAUCCGGAUUUAUUGGGUUUAAAGGGUGCGCUGGCGGUCUGUUAAGUCAGCGGUCACAGCCCGGGGCUAAACCCCGUCCCGCCCUUGAA
RNAcentral lists this ribosomal RNA (296 nucleotides) under uncultured bacterium. RNAcentral describes it as "partial 16S ribosomal RNA". It matches the Rfam family "Bacterial small subunit ribosomal RNA", at positions 337 to 631 of the family's 1533-position model. The record is from RNAcentral.